CCUUGCCAGGGCAGCAGGAGCAGGGACGGGCCAGGGACUGGCCGUGUGCCCAGCUGGACUUCAGAGGACCAGGCUCUCCCACCCCUGUUUUUAGCUACUGGAGAACGGCAGUUUAAGCAACCUGGCCUAAUUUGGAUGAGGACACAGAAGCACAGAACAGUGAACUGAGCUGCUCAAAGACAUCCAGCUGGUAAAAGGCAGAGCUGGGACUCAAACCCAGAUAUGGAAACUGAGUCCCCAAAAGGGAAAAUGACUUGCCCGAGAUCACACAGAGAUAGCGGAUAAACAAGUAACAAGACCAAGAGUUUCUGAUGACCAAAGUCUUGUUCCACUGAACACAGAGUCCAAGGACAUUGGCCUCAGCUACUGAUGUCAUCUGAGCUCCCUCCAAACUCUAUUCACCCACAGGGAAGACUUGA
Long non-coding RNA from Piliocolobus tephrosceles (Ugandan red Colobus), 419 nucleotides. RefSeq lists it as uncharacterized. The record is from RefSeq and is a predicted model, not a curated record. Lineage: Eukaryota; Metazoa; Chordata; Mammalia; Primates; Cercopithecidae. The transcript is spliced from 3 exons.